This is a non-coding RNA of Photorhabdus luminescens, 123 nucleotides long. The record is from Rfam. NCBI's taxonomy places the organism in Bacteria, Pseudomonadati, Pseudomonadota, Gammaproteobacteria, Enterobacterales, Morganellaceae.
UUACCACCAUCAUCAUCCUGAUUAGUCUUUCAGGCGGUUGUGUGCUGGAAGACGUUUAACGGGUCUUCCGGUGGCAUGAAUGCGAUAAAAACCCCCGGAAGGAUCCUUCCGGGGGUUUUUUUA